UACGGAGGGUGCAAGCGUUAUCCGGAUUCACUGGGUUUAAAGGGUGCGUAGGUGGAUUGGUAAGUCCGUGGUGAAAUCCCCAAGCUUAACUUGGGAACUGCCGUGGAUACUAUCAAUCUUGAAUAUCGUUGAGGUAAGCGGAAUAUGUCAUGUAGCGGUGAAAUGCUUAGAUAUGACAUAGAACACCGAUAGCGAAGGCAGCUUACUAAGCGAUCAUUGACACUGAGGCACGAAAGCGUGGGGAGCAAACAGG
Molecule: unclassified non-coding RNA, 253 nt
Filed under: uncultured Chitinophagaceae bacterium
Lineage: Bacteria; Pseudomonadati; Bacteroidota; Chitinophagia; Chitinophagales; Chitinophagaceae
Description: contains 16S-23S intergenic spacer region
Rfam family: Bacterial small subunit ribosomal RNA
Source: RNAcentral